RNAcentral lists this ribosomal RNA (433 nucleotides) under uncultured bacterium. RNAcentral describes it as "partial 16S ribosomal RNA". It matches the Rfam family "Bacterial small subunit ribosomal RNA", at positions 29 to 507 of the family's 1533-position model. The record is from RNAcentral.
AACGAACGCUGGCGGCAUGCCUAACACAUGCAAGUCGAACGAGACCUUCGGGUCUAUUGUCGCACGGGUGCGUAACGCGUGGGAUUCUGCCCUUCUGGUGGGAAUAACUGAGAGAAAUUUCAGCUAAUACCUUAUAAUGUCUUCGGCCCAAAGAUUUAUCGCCGAGGGAUGAGCCCGCGUAGGAUUAGGUAGUUGGUUGGGUUAUGGCCUACCAAGCCGCCCAUCCUUAGCUGGUUUGAGAGGAUGGUCAGCCACACUGGGACUGGGACACGGCCCAGACUCCUACGGGAGGCAGGAGUGGGGAAUAUUGGACAACGGGCGAAAGCCUGAACCAGCAAUGCCGCGUGAGUGAUGAAAGCCUGAGGGAUGUAAAGCUCUAUUACCCGGGAAGAUAAUGACAGUACCGGGAGAAUAAGCCCCGGCUAACUCCGUG